UCCUACGGGUGGCUGCAGUGGGGAAUAUUGGACAAUGGGCGAAAGCCUGAUCCAGCAAUGCCGCGUGAGUGAUGAAGGCCUUAGGGUUGUAAAGCUCUUUUACCCGGGAAGAUAAUGACUGUACCGGGAGAAUAAGCCCCGGCUAACUCCGUGCCAGCAGCCGCGGUAAUACGGAGGGGGCUAGCGUUGUUCGGAAUUACUGGGCGUAAAGCGCACGUAGGCGGCUUUGUAAGUUAGAGGUGAAAGCCCGGGGCUCAACCCCGGAAUUGCCUUUAAGACUGCAUCGCUUGAACGUCGGAGAGGUGAGUGGAAUUCCGAGUGUAGAGGUGAAAUUCGUAGAUAUUCGGAAGAACACCAGUGGCGAAGGCGGCUCACUGGACGACUGUUGACGCUGAGGUGCGAAAGCGUGGGGAGCAAACAGGAUUAGAUACCCGGGUAGUCUC
Molecule: ribosomal RNA, 443 nt
Filed under: uncultured bacterium
Lineage: Bacteria
Description: bacterial SSU rRNA
Rfam family: Bacterial small subunit ribosomal RNA
Source: RNAcentral